RNAcentral lists this ribosomal RNA (468 nucleotides) under uncultured bacterium. RNAcentral describes it as "partial 16S ribosomal RNA". It matches the Rfam family "Bacterial small subunit ribosomal RNA", at positions 28 to 507 of the family's 1533-position model. The record is from RNAcentral.
GAUGAACGCUGGCGGCGUGCUUAACACAUGCAAGUCGAACGGAAAGGCCCUGCUCUUGUGGGUUGCUCGAGUGGCGAACGGGUGAGUAACACGUGAGUAACCCGCCCUUGACUUUGGGAUAACUUCAGGAAACAGGGGCGAAUACCGGAUAGGAGCUCCUGCUGCACGGUGGGGGUUGGAAAGUUUCGGCGGUUGGGGAUGGACUCGCGGCUUACCAGCUGGUUGGUGGGGUAGUGGCAUACCAAGGUUUUGAAGGGUAGCCGGCAUGGGAGGGGUACCGGCGACAUGAGGACUAAGAGACGGCGCAGAAUGGUACGGGAGGCAGCAGUGGAGAAUCUUACACAGUGAGCGGAAGCCUGAGACGGAAACGCCGCGAGCGGGAUGACGGGUUUCGAGUUGUAAACAGCUUUGGACUGUGACGUGGCGGGAGUGACGGUAAUUGAUCAAGAAGCACCGGCUAACUACGUG